ACGUGCCAGCAGCCGCGGUAAUACGUAGGGCGCAAGCGUUGUCCGGAAUUAUUGGGCGUAAAGAGCUCGCACGCGGUUUGUCGCGUCUGCUGUGAAAACCUCAGGCUCAACCUGGGGCUUGCAGUGGGUACGGGCAGACUAGAGUGCGGUAGGGGAGACUGGAAUUCCUGGUGUAGCGGUGGAAUGCGCAGAUAUCAGGAGGAACACCGAUGGCGAAGGCAGGUCUCUGGGCCGCAACUGACGCUGAGGAGCGAAAGCAUGGGGAGCGAACAGGAUUAGAUACCCUGGUAGUCCAUGCCGUAAACGUUGGGCACUAGGUGUGGGGCUCAUUCCACGAGUUCCGUGCCGCAGCAAACGCAUUAAGUGCCCCGCCUGGGGAGUACGGCCGCAAGGCUAAAACUCAAAUGAAUUGACGGGG
Molecule: ribosomal RNA, 418 nt
Filed under: Actinotalea bogoriensis
Lineage: Bacteria; Bacillati; Actinomycetota; Actinomycetes; Micrococcales; Cellulomonadaceae
Description: bacterial SSU rRNA
Rfam family: Bacterial small subunit ribosomal RNA
Source: RNAcentral